CAUCUCCCAGAAUGCUUCUCUCCAUUCUCCACAUCUGCUUCCUCCUUUCCUUUUGACAAAGCCAUUUCUGAUGCACAGAGUAGAAGAGCUUUUCAGGCUGACCGGGCGCCCCGUUUAUUCAAGAAGAUGGUGUGACUCAUAAUUGGUGCCUGCCGUUAUGUGGCUAGGAAAAUAGCAUCGUUCCUGCGCCAUGAGGAUGUGGGAGAGACCACGUUGGCUUGCAAGAACCGGACAACUUUAGCUGGUAUCUCCAAAAAGCCAGCAGGGUCUGAAUCCACUCCUUGUUCAGGCAGCGAAAAAUAUCCUCAUGCAGCUAUUUCGGAAGUCAGAACCCAGGAACCAAACUCCUGAUGAAAUAAAAUAGGAAGGACGGCAGAGUGGAAAAUGACGGUUUGUUUGACAAAAUCCUGCAGGAAGUGAACAGACCUGAGCAUCCCUUAUUCUGCCCUCCUCUCGUUGUUCCGCAAUGAAAAUAAAUUUAAAUAAAAGAA
Pantherophis guttatus is the source of this 491-nucleotide long non-coding RNA. RefSeq lists it as uncharacterized. The record is from RefSeq and is a predicted model, not a curated record. Lineage: Eukaryota; Metazoa; Chordata; Lepidosauria; Squamata; Colubridae.